UUUAUAUGCCAAUAUAAUGCAGACGGAUCCGUUCUGAACGGAGCCUCCGUCUGCAUUAAUAUGAUCGGAUCCGUUCAGAACAGAUCCGAUCGAACGCUAGUGAGAAAGUAGCCUUAAGCUGUUUAAGGAGUUGUUCAAUUUUACAAUAUUGAUGACCUGUCCUCAUUAGUAUCAGAUUAGUGGGAGUCUGACUCUUGGAACCCCCACGAUCAGCUGCGUCCUCUUCGGGGUUUACCUAGAAAUUUCCAAUGCACCAAAUUCCAGGUCAAGUUAUGCUUGUGCGUGUGAGCAUAUCCUCAAAUGCAUAAUCAUAUUGUAUAGAUAUUUAUGACUUGUAACCUUGGAAACUCUCCCUCAAUGUGAAGGGGUAACUGUUACCUAAGCAUCACAGUACCACUACAAAAGUCAAUUAAAUGUGUAUAUCAAUCAAUUAUAUACCUAGAUGCAGUGCUUAUUUGUGGAGAAAGUCAAAUGCCCAAUUAACAAAGCAGUCUGGCUAUAGACCCUUAUUUUCUAAAACCACCUCUGUGGUAUAACAAGACAUAGAUUGGGGCAAAUAUUAGGAAAUGGACACUUGCCUGUUACAUACUGAGGUCUGUGUGCAUAUUUUCUUAGUUCUUGUAUUGCUCAUACAAAUCUGUAUCUUUAUACAUAGCAAUAAUGAAAUAAUUGAGAAACUGUAUAUUGCACUUAUUAAAGUAUACAAUGUUUCAGGAGCAUCGUGUAAUUUUAUAACCUUUUCUGUCAAGGCAAGCUGAAAAAUUCCAACUAGGAGUAAACAUGUAAAUAUAUUAUGACUGUACAAACUAUUUCAUUACAUUUAAAAUAAGCUCAGUUUGAUCCAUUGUAUUGCAUUUUACUUGGGCUUUGUCAUGGCUUCAGGUGACUGCAAGGUUUUAUAACCAGUUGAUUAUUGAUGCCCACCAAAUUAAGAAGGGGCCACUUGUAUAGUUUCUUCCUAUUGAACUCAUUGCAUGUGGUUUCUGCAACUUCCAUUCAUUUCAAUAGCAAGAGAUUGCUUGUACAUCGCCUGCUCGACUAUUAUUAAAGGAGUUUUCCGUUAGUUUUACACUGAUGACCUAUCCUUAUUGGUGGGGGUCCGACACAUAACUGUUUAAGAAGGCAUUGGUGCUCGCAGAAGCACUAUGGCCUUCUCCAGCUUUGCCAUGUGACAUGUUCAUCAGUCUCAUAGCUCAGCUGCGAUACCAAGCAUAGCCACUAUACAAUGUAUGGCACUGUGAUUGGUUUGCUGAGAGAAGGCUGCAGCGCUACUGCUAGCGCUGGUGUCUUCUCAAACAACUGAUCCCCGGGGGUCAGUAUAAAACUCUCUGGAAACCCCUUUAAUUAAGAGACUGAUUCUUGAGAUCAUUAGGGUCUCAGUGGAUGGUCCCUAUAGAUCAGUAAUUGCUGAAGCCAGUCAUUGGCAGCAGUGGUACACAAGACCAUGUCUAUGCCCCGGUUGGAAGAAAACAAGCUGGGACUGGAAGAUGAAGGUAAGGGAACCAGCACAGCAGACUGGAGCAGCAUGUAGCAGAUAAGUAUGAAUCCGGAGGCGAUGCAGAGCAGACGCCUUGCCUUGAUAGUUAAUAUUCCCAGAAAAAAAACAAUUAAGGGGUAUUCCCAUCUCAAACAUUAAUGGCAUAUCGAUAUGAUACGCCAUCAAUGUCAGAUAGGUGCAGGUCCCACUAGGGUUAUAGGGAUAUGCCAUCAAUACUUAACAUUGGUAUAAACCCUUUAGGUAUAGAUCAUUAAACCUAUUUUCUUUCGUUGGGGGGCUUUAAAGAGCAUGAGCUAUAGAUGUUUACAUGUUAACACAUACAUUAGUGUGGUUCCAGAGGUCUAUGCUUGGGUCAUAUUUUCACAGGAUAUAUUGCAAGCUUUUAGUAUAUUUGUUCAGUUGAGGCCCUUAUGUAUCAAAAAGGAUCCAAAGAAAUAGUUUUGCAGUUCAGCUGGGUAGAUAUCAGGUUUCACUGGUUACUCUGGGCAAAAUGGAUACUGAACUCAUGGAAAUUGGAAAGUUUUAUUUGAUUAAUUUCUAUUAUUAUCUAACAAAUAUUACUGUUGGUGAAUACAGUAUUUAGAAUACUACAAAGUAAAUAUUAGCAACAACCCACACUAUGAUUUAGACUGAAUUCGCAAGGCCAUAAUAUGUUCACAAUUUAGCCUCUGCAUUACUACCACAACACCCAAUCUCUGCUGAACCCUGUGGGAUACAGGUAUGGCUGUAAUAUAACUGCUAUAAUACUCCCAUACUGUGGUCAUGUUAAAUGAGCCUCAUAAUUAUGUCCUCCUUCACACAGCCUUUUUUUUUUUUUCAAGCUUUUUAAUUUAAUUUUUAUGUAGUGUUAUCUAAAAACGUGAAUUUUUUUUUCUUGCCUUUUUUAAGUCCUUUAGGAAAGUCUAUGGGUAAAAUGCCAGAAGAGGAAAAAAAAAAAAAAACCUCGCAGCAAAAAAAAGUCAAAAUGACAAAAACACAACAAACUAAAUCUCUUUGUAUGUAGAAUGUUAACACAGUGACAUCUUCCGGCAGAAUCUCUGAGCUAAAACAAAAAUGCUGUGAAAACCCCGCACAACGAUGUUUCUUUCUUAAUGUUACAGAAACCGGAAGUCUAGUUUUGGAAACCAAAGUCAUUUUUCCUCUUUUGUGUGCUUCACUUAACUCUCGCUGUACCUCAUUUGUUUUGAUGGUUUAUAGAGUGAUUCGUGAGCGGUUUUCACUUGUAGAUAUUUUCAGGAAGAGCUAAUGUCUAUUUUUAUGCAAUACAAUCAGAUUACACAUAUAUUUAUAAGAUUUGCUGGUUUAUAAGUUUAUGGCUUCUUUGUAAUGCAAUUAUGUUAAAUUCUUAUUAUAUGUUUUAAGUCUGUAUUACUGCCUUUAAUAAAAGCUGACAUUUCAA
Molecule: long non-coding RNA, 2897 nt
Organism: Bufo gargarizans (Asiatic toad)
Lineage: Eukaryota; Metazoa; Chordata; Amphibia; Anura; Bufonidae
Exons: 2
Source: RefSeq, a predicted model, not a curated record